This 383-nucleotide ribosomal RNA is filed under the name uncultured bacterium. RNAcentral's name for it is "bacterial SSU rRNA". It matches the Rfam family "Bacterial small subunit ribosomal RNA", at positions 29 to 401 of the family's 1533-position model. The record is from RNAcentral.
AUGAACGCUGGCGGCGUGCUUAACACAUGCAAGUCGAACGCUCCUAGAGGUUGGAGUUUAUCUUCAACCUCCAGAAGAGUGGCGCACGGGUGAGUAACACGUGGGCAAUCUACCCGGAAGUCUGGGAUAACAGUGCGAAAGCGCUGCUAAUACCGGAUAUUUUCACGAAGUCGCAUGACUUUGUGCAGAAAGUUUUUCGCUUCCGGAUGAGCCCGCGUCCCAUUAGCUAGUUGGUGAGGUAACGGCUCACCAAGGCUACGAUGGGUAGCUGGUCUGAGAGGACGAUCAGCCACACUGGAACUGAGACACGGUCCAGACUCCUACGGGAGGCAGCAGUGGGGAAUCUUGCGCAAUGGGCGGAAGCCUGACGCAGCAACGCCGCG